RNAcentral lists this ribosomal RNA (237 nucleotides) under uncultured bacterium. RNAcentral's name for it is "partial 16S ribosomal RNA". It matches the Rfam family "Bacterial small subunit ribosomal RNA", at positions 14 to 247 of the family's 1533-position model. The record is from RNAcentral.
UGAUCAUGGCUCAGAUUGAACGCUGGCGGCAGGCCUAACACAUGCAAGUCGAACGGUAACAGGAAGCAGCUUGCUGCUUCGCUGACGAGUGGCGGACGGGUGAGUAAUGUCUGGGAAACUGCCUGAUGGAGGGGGAUAACUACUGGAAACGGUAGCUAAUACCGCAUAACGUCGCAAGACCAAAGGAGGGGACCUUCGGGCCUCUUGCCAUCGGAUGUGCCCAGAUGGGAUUAGUCG